CCCUUGUUGCAUCAUAUAUCUUGUGAAGUCAUGAAACUAAAUUUUGAUUUCUUAAAUUUUAUUCUUAUUGACUUUAUAGGUUUUUUAUCUUCAAGUUGAUACUCUUGUGUUUAUCUUAUCUUUUAUCAACUCUCCUUUUUGCACUUUUUGAAUUAAGGAUGUUAGGUCGUAGUAUGUUCUUAAAUUCUAUAAUCUCUACUAUAAUUGAAAUCUUCUCCAGGCAAAUCCCACCUGCAAGAUCAACGACUCACAGCAUAUAUCCUACAGAUUUAACGGCCCAGAUUAGAAGUAUGAUCACAACCUUACACACCCUCAGCAUCAGCCUCCCCAUCAGCCCUGUUCAAACGCGUUGCACACCCUCUCCAUCAGCCCUGUUCUCUCGGUUCGAUUCCCACGUCCCACACCGUUUUUUUCCAUUUUUUCUCCGAUGCCGGCGCUAGAGUUCCUCCGCAGGCACAGAAUGUUAGUCGGCCGUCAUCGAGACGUGUCCCCAGGCGACCGCCCCUACUUCCCUGUCC
Molecule: long non-coding RNA, 518 nt
Filed under: Sorghum bicolor (sorghum)
Lineage: Eukaryota; Viridiplantae; Streptophyta; Magnoliopsida; Poales; Poaceae
Description: long non-coding RNA (SBIC_LNC009125)
Source: RNAcentral